Molecule: ribosomal RNA, 460 nt
Filed under: uncultured bacterium
Lineage: Bacteria
Description: partial 16S ribosomal RNA
Rfam family: Bacterial small subunit ribosomal RNA
Source: RNAcentral
CCUACGGGCGGCAGCAGUGAGGAAUAUUGGUCAAUGGACGAGAGUCUGAACCAGCCAAGUAGCGUGAAGGAUGACUGCCCUAUGGGUUGUAAACUUCUUUUAUAUGGGAAUAAAAUGUUCCACGUGUGGGAUUUUGUAUGUACCAUAUGAAUAAGGAUCGGCUAACUCCGUGCCAGCAGCCGCGGUAAUACGGAGGAUCCGAGCGUUAUCCGGAUUUAUUGGGUUUAAAGGGAGCGUAGGUGGAUUGUUAAGUCAGUUGUGAAAGUUUGCGGCUCAACCGUAAAAUUGCAGUUGAAACUGGCAGUCUUGAGUGAGCGAGAAGUAUGCGGAAUGCGUGGUGUAGCGGUGAAAUGCAUAGAUAUCACGCAGAACUCCGAUUGCGAAGGCAGUAUACCGGCGCUCAACUGACGCUCAUGCACGAAAGUGUGGGUAUCGAACAGGAUUAGAUACCCGAGUAGUC